RNAcentral lists this long non-coding RNA (793 nucleotides) under Trifolium pratense (red clover). RNAcentral describes it as "long non-coding RNA (TPRA_LNC008023)". Lineage: Eukaryota; Viridiplantae; Streptophyta; Magnoliopsida; Fabales; Fabaceae. The record is from RNAcentral.
UCUUCGGACUGUGAGGAUAUGUGUCAAUCAGAGCCGUUCUGUGCAGUCAGAUCGAGUGAGCGUGUGUGCCAGUUGUGUCUGUCUUUUCUUGUUGUGUGUACUUGAUGCGAUUGAUACUUAUCAUUGUUAUAAGUNNNNNNNNNNNNNNNNNNNNNNNNNNNNUGUAUUUUUAUGCUUAAAGUUUUAAAAAUUUGUGUGGUUUGAACUUUUGGUUUGUAGAUGCUUAUUGCUAAUUGUUGAUGAUCCGACAUGAUGUAAAACUGUAUUGUUGAUGAUCCGACACGAUGUAAAACUGUAUUGUUGAUGAUCCGGCAUGAUGUAAAACUGCAUGUGAUGAAGAUUUUGUUGAAAAUAUAAGAUUAUUUUCUUUUGAGUAAGUGAAAAUGAAUUUUUCACUAGAGUGAGAAAGGAGUAGGAUGUAAGUAGAUCCUAAUGAGUGUUGUUAUAUGUUUGUUUAUAACAUGUGGUAGAUUGAUUACUAGAACUUAGUGUGGUUCUUUAAUUGAACUAUGUGAAUGUAUUCUCAUGAUGAGAACUUGUUUGAGAACAUGCUAUGUUUUAUACAUGUUUGAGUAUAUGUUGUAAGUAUGCGAACAAAUGAAAUGUAAUGCAUGUACUUGACUCGAUGUCUUGUGUACAUGGAUGUUUUGUUGUCUUACAUAUACUUUAGUUAUAAAUAUAUGUAUUGACAUGUUGUUGUGUUUGCGUAUGCUAGUUGGUAUGAAGGUUGUUACACUAGUAUAUGUGGGGAAUAGAAUACUUAUCUAUUUGCAUAGUGGCGUAUAUGUCAAGA